Molecule: ribosomal RNA, 429 nt
Filed under: Chloroflexota bacterium
Lineage: Bacteria; Bacillati; Chloroflexota
Also listed under: 1 other name
Description: Chloroflexi bacterium partial 16S ribosomal RNA
Rfam family: Bacterial small subunit ribosomal RNA
Source: RNAcentral
UAGGGAAUCUUCGGCAAUGGACGAAAGUCUGACCGAGCAACGCCGCGUGAGUGAAGAAGGUUUUCGGAUCGUAAAACUCUGUUGUUAGAGAAGAACAAGGACGUUAGUAACUGAACGUCCCCUGACGGUAUCUAACCAGAAAGCCACGGCUAACUACGUGCCAGCAGCCGCGGUAAUACGUAGGUGGCAAGCGUUGUCCGGAUUUAUUGGGCGUAAAGCGAGCGCAGGCGGUUUCUUAAGUCUGAUGUGAAAGCCCCCGGCUCAACCGGGGAGGGUCAUUGGAAACUGGGAGACUUGAGUGCAGAAGAGGAGAGUGGAAUUCCAUGUGUAGCGGUGAAAUGCGUAGAUAUAUGGAGGAACACCAGUGGCGAAGGCGGCUCUCUGGUCUGUAACUGACGCUGAGGCUCGAAAGCGUAGGGAGCAAACAGG